GCGAUAAGCGUCGGUGAGGUGAUAUGAACCGUUAUAACCGGCGAUUUCCGAAUGGGGAAACCCAGUGUGUUUCGACACACUAUCAUUAACUGAAUCCAUAGGUUAAUGAGGCGAACCGGGGGAACUGAAACAUCUAAGUACCCCGAGGAAAAGAAAUCAACCGAGAUUCCCCCAGUAGCGGCGAGCGAACGGGGAGGAGCCCAGAGCCUGAAUCAGUGUGUGUGUUAGUGGAAGCGUCUGGAAAGGCGCGCGAUACAGGGUGACAGCCCCGUACACAAAAAUGCACAUACUGUGAGCUCGAUGAGUAGGGCGGGACACGUGGUAUCCUGUCUGAAUAUGGGGGGACCAUCCUCCAAGGCUAAAUACUCCUGACUGACCGAUAGUGAACCAGUACCGUGAGGGAAAGGCGAAAAGAACCCCGGCGAGGGGAGUGAAAAAGAACCUGAAACCGUGUACGUACAAGCAGUGGGAGCCUCUUAAUGGGGUGACUGCGUACCUUUUGUAUAAUGGGUCAGCGACUUAUAUUCUGUAGCAAGGUUAACCGAAUAGGGGAGCCGAAGGGAAACCGAGUCUUAACUGGGCGUUAAGUUGCAGGGUAUAGACCCGAAACCCGGUGAUCUAGCCAUGGGCAGGUUGAAGGUUGGGUAACACUAACUGGAGGACCGAACCGACUAAUGUUGAAAAAUUAGCGGAUGACUUGUGGCUGGGGGUGAAAGGCCAAUCAAACCGGGAGAUAGCUGGUUCUCCCCGAAAGCUAUUUAGGUAGCGCCUCGUGAAUUCAUCUCCGGGGGUAGAGCACUGUUUCGGCAAGGGGGUCAUCCCGACUUACCAACCCGAUGCAAACUGCGAAUACCGGAGAAUGUUAUCACGGGAGACACACGGCGGGUGCUAACGUCCGUCGUGAAGAGGGAAACAACCCAGACCGCCAGCUAAGGUCCCAAAGUCAUGGUUAAGUGGGAAACGAUGUGGGAAGGCCCAGACAGCCAGGAUGUUGGCUUAGAAGCAGCCAUCAUUUAAAGAAAGCGUAAUAGCUCACUGGUCGAGUCGGCCUGCGCGGAAGAUGUAACGGGGCUAAACCAUGCACCGAAGCUGCGGCAGCGACACUAUGUGUUGUUGGGUAGGGGAGCGUUCUGUAAGCCUGUGAAGGUGGCCUGUGAGGGUUGCUGGAGGUAUCAGAAGUGCGAAUGCUGACAUAAGUAACGAUAAAGCGGGUGAAAAGCCCGCUCGCCGGAAGACCAAGGGUUCCUGUCCAACGUUAAUCGGGGCAGGGUGAGUCGACCCCUAAGGCGAGGCCGAAAGGCGUAGUCGAUGGGAAACAGGUUAAUAUUCCUGUACUUGGUGUUACUGCGAAGGGGGGACGGAGAAGGCUAUGUUGGCCGGGCGACGGUUGUCCCGGUUUAAGCGUGUAGGCUGGUUUUCCAGGCAAAUCCGGAAAACCAAGGCUGAGGCGUGAUGACGAGGCACUACGGUGCUGAAGCGACAAAUGCCCUGCUUCCAGGAAAAGCCUCUAAGCAUCAGGUAACAUCAAAUCGUACCCCAAACCGACACAGGUGGUCAGGUAGAGAAUACCAAGGCGCUUGAGAGAACUCGGGUGAAGGAACUAGGCAAAAUGGUGCCGUAACUUCGGGAGAAGGCACGCUGAUAUGUAGGUGAAGCGACUUGCUCGUGGAGCUGAAAUCAGUCGAAGAUACCAGCUGGCUGCAACUGUUUAUUAAAAACACAGCACUGUGCAAACACGAAAGUGGACGUAUACGGUGUGACGCCUGCCCGGUGCCGGAAGGUUAAUUGAUGGGGUUAGCGGCAACGCGAAGCUCUUGAUCGAAGCCCCGGUAAACGGCGGCCGUAACUAUAACGGUCCUAAGGUAGCGAAAUUCCUUGUCGGGUAAGUUCCGACCUGCACGAAUGGCGUAAUGAUGGCCAGGCUGUCUCCACCCGAGACUCAGUGAAAUUGAACUCGCUGUGAAGAUGCAGUGUACCCGCGGCAAGACGGAAAGACCCCGUGAACCUUUACUAUAGCUUGACACUGAACAUUGAGCCUUGAUGUGUAGGAUAGGUGGGAGGCUUUGAAGUGUGGACGCCAGUCUGCAUGGAGCCGACCUUGAAAUACCACCCUUUAAUGUUUGAUGUUCUAACGUUGGCCCGUAAUCCGGGUUGCGGACAGUGUCUGGUGGGUAGUUUGACUGGGGCGGUCUCCUCCUAAAGAGUAACGGAGGAGCACGAAGGUUGGCUAAUCCUGGUCGGACAUCAGGAGGUUAGUGCAAUGGCAUAAGCCAGCUUGACUGCGAGCGUGACGGCGCGAGCAGGUGCGAAAGCAGGUCAUAGUGAUCCGGUGGUUCUGAAUGGAAGGGCCAUCGCUCAACGGAUAAAAGGUACUCCGGGGAUAACAGGCUGAUACCGCCCAAGAGUUCAUAUCGACGGCGGUGUUUGGCACCUCGAUGUCGGCUCAUCACAUCCUGGGGCUGAAGUAGGUCCCAAGGGUAUGGCUGUUCGCCAUUUAAAGUGGUACGCGAGCUGGGUUUAGAACGUCGUGAGACAGUUCGGUCCCUAUCUGCCGUGGGCGCUGGAGAACUGAGGGGGGCUGCUCCUAGUACGAGAGGACCGGAGUGGACGCAUCACUGGUGUUCGGGUUGUCAUGCCAAUGGCACUGCCCGGUAGCUAAAUGCGGAAGAGAUAAGUGCUGAAAGCAUCUAAGCACGAAACUUGCCCCGAGAUGAGUUCUCCCUGACUCCUUGAGGGUCCUGAAGGAACGUUGAAGACGACGACGUUGAUAGGCCGGGUGUGUAAGCGCAGCGAUGCGUUGAGCUAACCGGUACUAAUGAACCGUGAGGCUUAACCUU
RNAcentral lists this ribosomal RNA (2837 nucleotides) under Escherichia coli 6-175-07_S1_C1. Its description in RNAcentral is "bacterial LSU rRNA". It matches the Rfam family "Bacterial large subunit ribosomal RNA". Lineage: Bacteria; Pseudomonadati; Pseudomonadota; Gammaproteobacteria; Enterobacterales; Enterobacteriaceae. The record is from RNAcentral.